RNAcentral lists this ribosomal RNA (253 nucleotides) under uncultured bacterium. RNAcentral's name for it is "partial 16S ribosomal RNA". It matches the Rfam family "Bacterial small subunit ribosomal RNA", at positions 524 to 776 of the family's 1533-position model. The record is from RNAcentral.
UACAGAGGUCCCAAGCGUUGUUCGGAUUCACUGGGCGUAAAGGGUGCGUAGGCGGUUUGACAAGUCUGAUGUGAAAUCCCGCAGCUUAACUGCGGAACUGCAUUGGAAACUGUCUGGCUAGAGGAAUGGAGGGGAGACUGGAAUACUUGGUGUAGCAGUGAAAUGCGUAGAUAUCAAGUGGAACACCAGUGGCGAAGGCGAGUCUCUGGACAGUUACUGACGCUGAGGCACGAAGGCCAGGGGAGCAAACGGG